RNAcentral lists this ribosomal RNA (301 nucleotides) under uncultured bacterium. RNAcentral describes it as "partial 16S ribosomal RNA". It matches the Rfam family "Bacterial small subunit ribosomal RNA", at positions 509 to 807 of the family's 1533-position model. The record is from RNAcentral.
CAGUCGCCACGGUAAUACGUAGGGUGCGAGCGUUAAUCGGAAUUACUGGGCGUAAAGCGUGCGCAGGCGGUUAUAUAAGACAGAUGUGAAAUCCCCGGGCUCAACCUGGGACCUGCAUUUGUGACUGUAUAGCUAGAGUACGGUAGAGGGGGAUGGAAUUCCGCGUGUAGCAGUGAAAUGCGUAGAUAUGCGGAGGAACACCGAUGGCGAAGGCAAUCCCCUGGACCUGUACUGACGCUCAUGCACGAAAGCGUGGGGAGCAAACUGGAUUAGAUACCCCUGUAGUCCCUGUCUCUUAUAC